This 66-nucleotide small RNA is filed under the name unclassified sequences. RNAcentral describes it as "NAD+-I sequence". It matches the Rfam family "nadA riboswitch". The record is from Rfam by way of RNAcentral.
GGUUGCAACAUCCCCGCGGGUUGGGUUUCGGCUAAACGUGGCCGGAAUAGCGAAUCCGCUGCAACC